UACGUAGGGUGCAAGCGUUGUCCGGAUUCAUUGGGCGUAAAGAGCGUGUAGGCGGCCAGGUAGGUCGGUUGUGAAAACUGGAGGCUCAACCUUCAGAGGUCGACCGAAACCAUCUGGCUAGAGUCUGGGAGAGGAGAGUGGAAUUCCGGGUGUAGCGGUGGAAUGCGUAGAGAUCCGGAAGAACACCGAUGGCGAAGGCGGCUCGCUGGGCAGUGGCUGACGCUGAGGCGCGACAGCGUGGGGAGCAAACAGG
RNAcentral lists this ribosomal RNA (253 nucleotides) under uncultured bacterium. RNAcentral's name for it is "partial 16S ribosomal RNA". It matches the Rfam family "Bacterial small subunit ribosomal RNA", at positions 524 to 776 of the family's 1533-position model. The record is from RNAcentral.